ACUGUACUGAUGAGUCCAAAAAUGGACUAAAUAGCAAUUUAUAAU
This 45-nucleotide long non-coding RNA is filed under the name Bos mutus (wild yak). The record is from RNAcentral. Lineage: Eukaryota; Metazoa; Chordata; Mammalia; Artiodactyla; Bovidae.